RNAcentral lists this ribosomal RNA (253 nucleotides) under uncultured bacterium. Its description in RNAcentral is "partial 16S ribosomal RNA". It matches the Rfam family "Bacterial small subunit ribosomal RNA", at positions 524 to 776 of the family's 1533-position model. The record is from RNAcentral.
UACAGAGGGUGCAAGCGUUAUUCGGAAUUACUGGGCGUAAAGCGCAUGUAGGUGGGACAUCAAGUCAGAUGUGAAAUCCCGGGGCUCAACCUCGGAAUUGCAUUUGAAACUGAUGUUCUUGAGUUUGGGAGAGGAAAGUGGAAUUCCUGGUGUAGAGGUGAAAUUCGUAGAUAUCAGGAGGAACAUCGGAGGCGAAGGCGGCUUUCUGGUCCAUAACUGACACUGAGAUGCGAAAGCGUGGGUAGCAAACAGG